GGUACAACUCCGUUUUCUCAAAGGCCUAGGGGACCUCAGCAGUUGCCUCUCUUCUUUCCUCUGUGUUCGUCAUUUUAUCAAAUUACUGGAAGCUGGGAGUUGAGGCCAAAAGAGGAGAAAAUAUAUAAUAGAGCCUGAAGAUGUAGUUGUAUUGCUUCAGUCUCAUGAUAAAACUUGAGUGGAUGAGGAGUUGCUUCUUAUGAACGAGCAAAGAAAGUGGUUACGUGAGAGGGAAUCUACUCCUAAUGAAGAUCCUGUUAUAACCGUCUCAUAAAAUGCUGCUCUUUUUCUGUUCGUCCAGAUUUUAAGCAUUCUACUCCAUUGCCCAGGCUGGAGUGCAGUGGCACAAUCACGACUCACUGCAGCCUCAACUUCCCAGGCCAGUGCCAAGCCCUCCAUGAGAUCCUGGAGCUAAGAAGAUGACAGGAGCACAGUUACUGGAUUUAUUCAGAUACUCAACUACAGUUCUCACGCUCUUUCUAUAUUUUCUACUUGCAGAGGGGUUUUUUCCGCCUCUGAUUACUCUAUCCCACCUGGUUAUGCAAUCACUUCCACCCACUAACUGUCCAAAUUCACAGGAGAAUUUUCAGACAUCACCCCACAUACCUUUCCUGGUCUCCUAAAUAUAUAGAAAGUGCAUUCUGCAACACGAUAUCACAUAGAUCAGUUGCCUAUUGCCACGAUAAGGCUACAGGACAAUCACAAAACUACAAUAGAUUAUAGCAACCCACAUUCAGCUUAUGAGUCAAUGAGGUUAAACUGAUCUGGCUACAACAGCAAAGGCUAGGCUUCAAGUUGGUAGACAGAUUUGCUGGUUUCGGCUCGGCUUGUUCACAAGUCUGGGGGACCAGUUGGCUGUCACUGGCUGAUCUAGGACAGCCCAGCUCAUUAUCCAGCAGGCUAGCCCAGGCAUGUCCUUCUCAGGAAGGUGACAGAGAGCAAGAGUGAGCCAACCCAAUGAUGCAAGUGCUUUUCAAGCUUCUACUCCUAUCAUGUCAGCUCAAUAUCCUGUUGACCAAAGUAGGUUGCAUGGCUAACGCCAGUGUUAGAAUGGAAGGGUAUAAAAAUGACAUGGCCACCGAUAUGAAGUGGGGACAGGUAAAGGACUGGGGCCAUUUUUGCAAACUAUAACAUGUGUAGGUAGGAAUAUACCUAAACCAAUGUACAAGAGUCAUACUGUGCAACACUUUCCAAACAUUACCCUGCACUGUGGAAGACUUUACCAAUGUGAUAAACUCCAUCUGCUGAACUUAGCCCUGCUCAGUCCUUUCACAAUACCUCUUGAGUUCAGGAGGCACUCAAGGAAGGACAGGGGCCUCUUGAAAUCCAACGUGGGUCCCAGGAUGACAAUUACUACAGGACUUGACAUAGAGAGCAGCAGAAAAUUUGUCACUUCUCCUCAGCUGUUAGAAGUAGAUCAAAGGUAAAUAUAAACACCUCCAAUCACCAAUUAAGUUAAAAGAAAGAGGCCAACACUAAAUCUACCAGCAGAAAAAUACUGCACUUCCUCUCUCAGCUACUGAAGCAUGCCCAGUAAAUGUAACCAAUACCCCAGCCCCAGCCCUUUAUGGAAACAACUGCACUGAACUCCCAUCCUCUGAGGCCGGGUGCAGUGGCUCAUGCCAGUAAUCCCAGCACUUUGAGAUGCCAAGGCGGGAGGAUUGCUUGAGCUCGUGAAUUUGAGAUCAGCCUCAGCCACACAGCAAAACCCUGUCUCUACAAAAAAAUACAAAACCUAGCUGGGCAUGGUGGUGCCUGCCUGUAGUCGCAGCUACUUGGGAAGCUGAGAUGGGAAGCUGAGGUGGGAGGAUGGCUUGAGCCCCGGAGGCAGAGGUUGCAGUUGGCUGAGAUUGCUGCACUGCACUCCAACCUGAGGCAACUGAGCCAGACCUUGAAAAAAAAAAAAAAAAAAAAAAAAAAAAACAACCUCCCAUCCUCUGGAUAAAGUAAACCUAGAGCAACUAAAACUGUACUAAAGUAAUCUAAUUAUUUUUUUUUUUUUGAGAUGAGGUCUGGCUCUAUCACCCAAGCUCGAUCACAGUGAAGCAAUCUCAGCUCAUUACAACCUCUGCCUUUUAGGGCUCAAGUGAUCCUCCAACCUCAGCCUCCCCAGUAGCUGGGACUACAGGUGCAUGUCACCAUGCCCAGCUAAUUUUUUUUUUUAAUAGAUGGGGUUUUGCUGUGUUGCCUAGGCUGGUCUUGAACUCGUGAACUCAAGUGAUCCUCCUGCCUUGGCCUCCCAAAAUGCUGGGAUUACAGGCAUCAGCCACUGUGCCCAGGCUAGACUAAAGUAAUCCAGACUAAUUAUCUGUAUGUGUGAAUGUGGUGGUGUUGAGAGAAUACAGGCAUCAAGGGCCUAUGUGGCCCUUAAAGACAGGAAUUGAUUGUGCUUGCUUGCUUGCUUUUUUAUUGUGGUAAAGAAUACAUAACAUGAGCUCUAGGCUUUACCAAAAUUUUCAGUGUAGAGUGCAGUACAAUAUUGUUAACUAUGAGCUCAUAAUUGUACAGCAGCUCUCUAGAAGUUUUCCAGCUUGCAUAACUAAAACCCUAUACCUGAUGAACAGCAAUUCUUCCAUUUCCCCUAGCUUUAGGCUCUGGCAACCACCAUUCUACUUUCUGCCUUUAUGAGUUUAACUAUUUAAGACACCUCAUGUAAGUAGAAUUAUGUAGUAUUUGCUUCUCUGUGUCUGGCUGAUUUCACUUAGCAUAAUGCCCUCGAUUUCCAUCCAUGUUGCAGCAUGUGACAGGAUUCCCUUCUUUCAUGGCUGAAUAGUAUUCCAUUGUGUAUAGGUAUCAGAUUUUCUUUAUGCAUUCAUCCAUUGAUGGGCAUUUAGGUUGUUUCCACCUCUUGUCUAUUUUGAAUAAUGCUGAAAUGAACAUGGGAAUGCAGAUAAAAAAAAAAAAAAAAAAAAAAA
This 2915-nucleotide long non-coding RNA is filed under the name Homo sapiens (human). RNAcentral's name for it is "uncharacterized LOC101927284 (LOC101927284)". The record is from RNAcentral. Lineage: Eukaryota; Metazoa; Chordata; Mammalia; Primates; Hominidae.